CCUCCUGCUUCAGCCUCCUGAAUACUGGAAUUACAGGCUCCUGAGCAUCGGCAGGACACUGGCUUGCUCAGGGAACCUCAGGCUCCUGAGACAGAAGUGAGGGUGGGCCGGGCUCAUUCCUGGCCAGGAAGUAAGUUGGAAAUUAGUUCACUGGUGCUGCACUACUGACUCCCCCACAUCCAGGGUCUGGGCAAGAGAGCUAUAUUCCUUCAGCUAUGCAGCAGCUACCUUCAUCUUCCUCCUAUACCAGCUUCAAGGCAGAAAACUGUGGAGUCCUGGAGAACCACCUUUGAAGUCCUUCGGUCCCUUCUACCUAGAGUAAAGGUGAAAGACUAUGCAGACAGAUACAUCUCUGAUAGAAAGAGACAUGAUUUCAAAGGAGGCUGCUAAAUUAAACUAAGAAUGGAUUGCUUAUUGACAUCUUA
Molecule: long non-coding RNA, 425 nt
Organism: Chinchilla lanigera (long-tailed chinchilla)
Lineage: Eukaryota; Metazoa; Chordata; Mammalia; Rodentia; Chinchillidae
Exons: 3
Source: RefSeq, a predicted model, not a curated record